CCCUUCGUAGGUGAACCUGCGGAGGGAUCAUUGCUGGAACGCGCUUCGGCGCACCCAGAAACCCUUUGUGAACUUAUACCUUACUGUUGCCUCGGCGCAGGCCGGCCUCUACUGCUGAGGCCCCCCGGAGACGGGGAGCAGCCCGCCGGCGGCCAACCAAACUCUUGUUUCUACAGUGAAUCUCUGAGUAAAAAACAUAAAUGAAUCAAAACUUUCAACAACGGAUCUCUUGGUUCUGGCAUCGAUGAAGAACGCAGCGAAAUGCGAUAAGUAAUGUGAAUUGCAGAAUUCAGUGAAUCAUCGAAUCUUUGAACGCACAUUGCGCCCUCUGGUAUUCCGGAGGGCAUGCCUGUUCAAGCGUCAUUUCAACCCUCAAGCCUGGCUUGGUGUUGGGGCACUGCCUGUAAAAGGGCAGGCCCUGAAAUCUAGUGGCGAGCUCGCUAGGACCCCGAGCGUAGUAGUUAUAUCUCGUUCUGGAAGGCCCUGGCGGUGCCCUGCCGUUAAACCCCCAACUUCUGAAAUUUUGACCUCGGAUCAGGUAGGAAUACCCGCUGAACUUAAGCAUAUCAAUAAGCGGAGGAA
This 582-nucleotide ribosomal RNA is filed under the name Phomopsis sp. ONH-2015. RNAcentral describes it as "eukaryotic LSU rRNA". The stretch from base 210 to 363 matches the Rfam family "5.8S ribosomal RNA". The record is from RNAcentral. Lineage: Eukaryota; Fungi; Ascomycota; Sordariomycetes; Diaporthales; Diaporthaceae.